GUGUCAGCAGCCGCGGUAAUACGGAGGAGGCAAGCGUUAUCCGGAAUUAUUGGGCGUAAAGCGUCCGCAGGUGGCUCGCUCAAGUCUGCUGUCAAAGACCGGGGCUUAACUCCGGAAAGGCAGUGGAAACUGACAAGCUAGAGGGCUCUAGGGGUAGAGGGAAUUCCCGGUGUAGCGGUGAAAUGCGUAGAGAUCGGGAAGAACAUCGGUGGCGAAAGCGCUCUACUGGAGAGCAACUGACACUCAGGGACGAAAGCUAGGGGAGCGAAAGGGAUUAGAUACCCCUGUAGUCCUAGCUGUAAACGAUGGAGACUAGGUGUGGCCUGUAUCGACCCGGGCCGUGCCGGAGCUAACGCGUUAAGUCUCCCGCCUGGGGAGUACGCACGCAGGUGUGAAACUUAAAUGAAUUGACGGGG
This 416-nucleotide ribosomal RNA is filed under the name uncultured prokaryote. RNAcentral describes it as "bacterial SSU rRNA". It matches the Rfam family "Bacterial small subunit ribosomal RNA", at positions 505 to 918 of the family's 1533-position model. The record is from RNAcentral.